This 301-nucleotide ribosomal RNA is filed under the name uncultured bacterium. RNAcentral's name for it is "partial 16S ribosomal RNA". It matches the Rfam family "Bacterial small subunit ribosomal RNA", at positions 509 to 807 of the family's 1533-position model. The record is from RNAcentral.
CAGUCGCCGCGGGAAUACGAAGGGGGCUAGCGUUGCUCGGAAUCACUGGGCAUAAAGGGUGCGUAGGCGGGUCUUUAAGUCAGGGGUGAAAUCCUGGAGCUCAACUCCAGAACUGCCUUUGAUACUGAAGAUCUUGAGUUCGGGAGAGGUGAGUGGAACUGCGAGUGUAGAGGUGAAAUUCGUAGAUAUUCGCAAGAACACCAGUGGCGAAGGCGGCUCACUGGCCCGAUACUGUCGCUGAGGCACGAAAGCGUGGGGAGCAAACAGGAUUAGAUACCCGCGUAGUCCCUGUCUCUUAUAC